CGUGUAGGCGGGUUAAUAAGUUUGAAGUGAAAUCCUAUGGCUCAACCAUAGAACUGCUUUGAAAACUGUUAACCUAGAAUAUGGGAGAGGUAGAUGGAAUUUCUGGUGUAGGGGUAAAAUCCGUAGAGAUCAGAAGGAAUACCGAUUGCGAAGGCGAUCUACUGGAACAUUAUCGACGCUGAGACGCGAAAGCGUGGGGAGCAAACA
Molecule: ribosomal RNA, 207 nt
Filed under: uncultured bacterium
Lineage: Bacteria
Description: partial 16S ribosomal RNA
Rfam family: Bacterial small subunit ribosomal RNA
Source: RNAcentral